AGGACGAACGCUGGCGGCGUGCUUAACACAUGCAAGUCGAGCGGAAAGGCCCUUCGGGGUACUCGAGCGGCGAACGGGUGAGUAACACGUGAGUAAUCUGCCCAUCGCUUCAGGAUAGCCAUCGGAAACGGUGAUUAAUACUGGAUAUGACAUUCCUUCGCAUGUUGGGGUGUGGUAAAGUUUUUUCGGCGGUGGAUGUGCUCGCGGCCUAUCAGCUUGGUUGGUGGGUAAUGGCCUACCAAGGCUUUGGACGGGUUAGCCGGCCUGGAGACGGGUGACCGGCCACGCGUGGACUGGACGACCGACGGCCCAGACCUACCGUACGGGAGGCCAGG
This 335-nucleotide ribosomal RNA is filed under the name uncultured soil bacterium. RNAcentral's name for it is "bacterial SSU rRNA". It matches the Rfam family "Bacterial small subunit ribosomal RNA", at positions 26 to 352 of the family's 1533-position model. The record is from RNAcentral.